CUUUUACUGCGAAAAGGGCUUGGAGAGUUGAGCAAGUCCAUGUACUAGGGAUGGUGUAAGGCCCCCCCUUUUAUAUACUUGCCUAUAUAUUCAAUAUUAGAAUAUCGAUUUAUAUAGAUUUAUUUCUAUUUUACUAGUUUAUUCGAAUGUUUUCAUUAUAGAAUUCGUCUGAUAAGCCCGUUCUCUAAGGUGGAAACACUGUCUAAAACAGCAUACACCAAAACUCAAUGAACUAAAAGAUUUUAUUAAUUGAAGGAAAAGAAACCAACCGGGAUUGCGCUAGUAGUACAGAGCGAAAGCGCAAAAGCUUAAAUAAUUUUUGUUUACGGUCGAACUUAAGUGGAAUCCGGACCAGAGAAAGUUAUAGUCUUGUAGAUUGUAAACAAAAAAAAAAGUGCCGCAAUUAAAAUAUACUUUAUUUGCGCACAUAUUAGUACUUAUUGCGACAUUUAUAUUAUAUAAUACGCGUUAUAUAUAUAAAGUUGCGCAAUAAAUGGGCAAGUUAGUGGUUUUAAACUGCUAAAUUAUUGACGGAUACCACUCUGUUGGCUAAAUACUCUAUGUAGAUCGAUAGUGAAUCAGUACUGUAAAGGAAUUAGGAAACAAGAAUGCCAUUGCUUCUCUGAAUACAAGUCCCGAAACAGGUUGCUUAUAAUGACUUUCAGUUUGGCAGUUAUAAUGUUGAAUAGAAAGGUUCCUUUUGAAUCAUGAGCUGAUGACUUUGUGUUGGUUUAAGGCGUAUUAUUAAUCGUGUAUUAAUAUAAGUGGCUUAAUUUAUUAAAAGUAAGCUUAUUAUGAAAAUAAUCAUAAAAAACUAACACAAGACGCGAAACGAAGUGAGCUUAAGUAGACCAGGGGGAAGGUUGCCGGAAGGUAGUUGGACGCCCGAAGUGGUAUGCGUUGCAACGCAUUCAUAUGAGUUUAUUUAAGUGGCGAAAUACCAAUCGAACUUCGAAAUAUCUCGUUUUUUGCGAAACCUUUUUAGGAAGGGGGCCUGCAAAAUAAAUGCUAACUAGGUAGAGCGCUGUAAAACUGAUGGGAGGGAAACUUUUACUGAGGUGUUGCAAACCACAAAUUAGGAGCAUUUUGCCAGGUACUCAGUCAGUGCGGGACAAGCUGCAUUUGACAAGAAGGAAACAGCCUAGACUAUUAAUUAAGGCCCGCAAAUAGCGCUAAGUGAGAAAGUAAUUAACUUCACAAAAAUUAGUAGGACGUUUGAUUAGCAGCAUCUACCGUUUAAAGAAAGCGUAAUAGCUCACUACUAUAGUUUAGUUGUUGCGAAAAUUUAGCCGGACUAAGCGCUAUGCCGAAAUUAUAGCUAACUGGAAACAAUACAAUCAGUUAGAGUAGCAAAACGAACCAUGUUGACAAAAUUAUGUCGGUAAGACUUAAUGAAAAUAUUGGUUGUGAAUAUAUCAGCUAGAGUAACAUAUAAAUUGAGAUUAUUACUUAAGGCAGCUUUGUAUUAAUGAGUACGAGUGUUAUAAAAGCAUUUUUUUAAUAAUAAAUUAUACUAUUUAUUACUUGAAUUAAUGCAAAGUUGUAUUAAUUCAGAACAGUAUCUCAAUGAUCGGAAAUCCUGGGUUUUCUACACAACUAUUAAAGAUGUAGUUAAAAAUACGGUCCCUAAGUAUCAUAAAGGCUACGAUGGGUACUUGCUGUGUCCAACAAAACCUUAUUCAUAGGUCUGUUGCAGGAAACAGUAGCAAGGAAUUACGUUACGCGUAGCAUAAUAUUUGUCUUAUCUUAUUUUACGCGUAUUAUAAGCACCGUACUAAAACUGACUCUGGUGGAUUGGUAGAUUUUACUAAGAUUUGGUUAUAAUCGCUCGUAAGGAACUCGGCAAAUUGCGCUGGUACUUUCGAAAACAGCGGUCUAAAAGUGGUGUUUUAGAUCUCAGAUAAGAGAACUGGGUGACAGUUUACUAAAAACGAUGUUGCCUCAGGUCAUCCUGGAGCUGAACAAGGUUCCAAGGGCGCAACUGUUCUUUGCAUAAUGACCUACGUGAGGUGAGUUUAAACCGCCGUAAGGCAGGUUUGGUUCUAUCUAGACAGCCAUAUUUAUUUAACCAAGCACUAGAAUUCCACUGUACGAAAGGACCCGGAAUUCCGCGCCAAUGGUUUAGCAAUUGUUUUGAAAAAAGCAUGGUUGCAACGCUAAGCGUGAAAUGUUAAUUGCUGAAAAACUAUCAAGCAAGAAACAAUUGUAAAGGUUAUAAGAGAUCGCAUUUGCGUAAAUAGGCGCGGGGUGUAAGCUUUGUAAUAAGCUCAGCUACCGCGUACUAAUUUUUU
RNAcentral lists this ribosomal RNA (2291 nucleotides) under Ulva pertusa. RNAcentral's name for it is "bacterial LSU rRNA". It matches the Rfam family "Bacterial large subunit ribosomal RNA". The record is from RNAcentral. Lineage: Eukaryota; Viridiplantae; Chlorophyta; Ulvophyceae; Ulvales; Ulvaceae.